GGUCAUUACGGUAUGCAUAGCACAUUGAUUCGUGGAUUUCUUCUUCCCUCGGUGAAAAAUAAAUAUAUGUCUUAUUCUUAUAGCUUAUUCCAAAAUACAAAGGCCACUUUGCACAUACAAAAUAUCUUGAUCAGAAUUCUCUACAUUUUGAGGAUCACGAAUUUGUUAUAGUCAUAUCAAAAUUUGAGGUUGAUUGGCGGAAACAAAUACGUGAUUUCCCAACUAUAAUUAAUUUUGAGUAAGCAGAAUUCAUUUAUUUUUCUAAAUCUUUUUUUAUUUCUUAAAAUUUGUGUUAGUAAAAGACUUUUGAGGUUAAGUAAUUAGUAAACAAUGAAAAUGUUAAAAGAAAUUUUAUUAUUUCCGUAAAUGUAUUUUCAUUUAUUACCAUUUCAUUUUAUUUCCAUCACAAAAAAAAAAAAAUUUCGUGAAUCAAGGAUUUUUUGAAAUUUUGUAGAUCCUAAGGUCUUAAUUUCUAAGAAUUACGAAUUCUACUUUGAGAUAUAAGUUUUUUAUUUUUAGCCUGUUCCUCAUGUAUUAUGUUGAUAAUGGUUCAAACUUCCAAUAAAGCAUUCAAGUCAAAAUGAACCAUUAAACAUACCAUUCAACUAUGUAACAAGAUAGAACUUCAAGUUCUCAUAAAAGCAAGGAAAUCUAAAACCACACUCAAUAAGAUAAAACAACAUAGAAAAUAGCAUCCAAUUAUUGUCUUAUUUAAACUCAUAAUCAUAGAUGCCACCAGCCUAAGAUAGUGAGAAGGAACUUCUUGUAAUCUCCUGAGAUUUCUUUGGCAAUAACAUGUUCUAGAAGAACACUGUUUCUCUUAUAAUAAACAUCUGAGAUGUUUUUCAAAUCUGUGUAAGCUCUGCUCACAAUCACACGAGUGAGUGCAUCCUCAUCAGUUCCAAUCUUCUUGACAGCAUCUCUCACCACCUAUAAUAACAUUAAAAAAAUGUCAAGAUUCAUUCUAGUUAAUUUAACAAUUUAGAUUUAAACUUUAAUACUUCUACACAAAACUCAUAAUAAAAAUGUAUUAUCUAAUUCUUGUAGAUUUAAAUUCAGAUAUAAUUGCUUUCGCGACCCCUUAAUUUAAUUUCAUGUGAUAUUUUAGUUAUUUAUUUUUUUUUUUCGAUUUAGUCUUUUAUUUAAUUUUAAGUAACUAUCUGAUCUUUUAUAUCUUAAAAUAUUACCAAUAUUAUCAUUUCUUAACAUAAAUUUAAAAUUAAUCAAAAUCUUCAAACAAAAUCUAUAAAAUUCAACACCAAUUUCAAAAAAGUCAUAUAUUCAUCAAAUGUAUAACUCAAAUAUUCAAAUAAAUUCAUAUUUCUGUAUCUAACAACAUCAAAUUCAUAAAAUAAAGAAUGAAAAUGAGUUUAUUUAAAUAUUUGAGUUAUAAAUUUGAUGAAAUGUGCAUUAUAUUGAAUGUGAUAAUUAAUUUUAUAGAUUUUGUUUGAAAAUUUUGAUGAAAUUUUUAUAAAAAAAAUGAUAAUAUUAUUGAUAUUUUAAAACAAUAAAAGAUCAAAUUGUUAUUUAAAAUUAAAUAAAACCUAAAUAAAAAAAAAUUAAUUAACUAAAAUGCUACCUAAAGUUAAGUUAAAAGAGUCUGCAGUACCAAUUAUACCUAUUAUACCAGUAAAUUAAUAAUAAUAGAGAAUACAAUGAGAGUCCUACCUUUUCAUAAUACUUGACAUGAUCAUUGAAGCAACGAAUGGUGGUAUACAAUGAUUUCUGAAAAUCAUCUGAUCCUUCAUCCAAUAGUUUCUGUUAAGAUGUAAGGGACACAAAUUUAAAUGAUAGAUUAUAGUAUCAAUUUCUUUUAUUGUUUUGCAAAGAAAAGGAAGAAAAAAAAAUAGUGUGUUAGCUCUUUUUUGUAUACCUUAGUGAUGGAACCACCAUGAGUCUCUCUAUAGCGAUUGAAAGUUGCAAUCAAUUGAGUCUUGCUCCUUGUAGUCAAGAUCCUGAUUGCUUCUUCAUGGCUACCUUUUUUCUCUUUCACAGACUCGUGAAGAAUUUCAGCUUCACUCUGAGCCAAUUUUGCAUUUAUCUCAUCACCAGUAUAUCUGUAUGAGGUCACUAGCCCCACCAAAAGCUGCUCAAUAUCAAAAACAAACUUAUCAAAAUCAGGGUUCUUAAAAAGGUCUUUAACAAAGAUAUGGGCCAAACAACAUCAAAGUUUUUGAAAUCUUCACUAAUGCAAUGUUCCUUCCAUUAAGGUAUACAAAAAUAAAAAUUUGCAUCAAAUCUUACAUCUUUUAAUCAGAAAUGAUCAGUAAAUUUCGAUAAAAAUUUGAGUUAAUUUGAAAAAGGACUUGCCUGGCGAAGAUGGCCUGAAGUAUGAAUAGCCAAAUCUUCUUCAAUGGAGUGCUUGUAGCGGUUGAUAUAGGCACGCCUCACAUUAAAGAGCUCUUCAGGGGAAAGAACAGAGGAAAUUUCCACAAUCACAUUGUAGUUUUUUCCACUCUUUAUAGCAACAUGGACCAAAACAGCGUCACGAUCAGCAGGCUCCAAUAUCCAACGGUACACAGCUUUCUGUUCAUUAAAAUAAAAUUUCAAAAUUUUACAUAUAUUAAUUUAAGAAAAUGAAUUAAUUGAAUGUUAUUUAUAAAAUUGACAAAAUUGACUUUGAUACUAAAUUACUAAUAUGCACCUCAAAAUCUCCUUUGAUCUCAGACUCCAAGCGUUUGACAAGAUCCUCAUGAUAAAUGUCCUCAUAAGAUUUUCUAAUUAAUUGUAUCUGAUGUGAGGUUCUGUGACCCAGUAUUGAUAUCACAGUGUUUUCAUCAGUUCCCCAUCCUACAAUAUUGAACAUAUAUAAUACAAUCAACUAAAUUUUGAGCACCCCAUUAUUUAAUUAAAGAUUACAUAAGAGUAUCAGAUUCAUAGAAAAAAAAAAGUAACAAAGUAUGCAAAUUAAAUAGCCAAAUCAGUAUGCAAAUUUGUCAACAACAAAAAUGAUGAUAGGGGAAGAUCACAC
RNAcentral lists this long non-coding RNA (2971 nucleotides) under Cicer arietinum (chickpea). Its description in RNAcentral is "long non-coding RNA (CARI_LNC002460)". Lineage: Eukaryota; Viridiplantae; Streptophyta; Magnoliopsida; Fabales; Fabaceae. The record is from RNAcentral.